This 798-nucleotide ribosomal RNA is filed under the name uncultured Proteiniphilum sp. RNAcentral describes it as "bacterial SSU rRNA". It matches the Rfam family "Bacterial small subunit ribosomal RNA", at positions 8 to 795 of the family's 1533-position model. The record is from RNAcentral. Lineage: Bacteria; Pseudomonadati; Bacteroidota; Bacteroidia; Bacteroidales; Dysgonomonadaceae.
AGAGUUUGAUCAUGGCUCAGGAUGAACGCUAGCGAUAGGCCUAACACAUGCAAGUCGAGGGGCAGCACAUGAAGUAGCAAUACGGAUGGUGGCGACCGGCGCACGGGUGAGUAACGCGUAUGCAACCUGCCUACAACAGGGGAAUAACCCGUUGAAAGACGGACUAAUACCCCAUAACACAGGGAUCCCGCAUGGGAAUAUUUGUUAAAGAUUUAUCGGUUGUAGAUGGGCAUGCGUUCCAUUAGCUUGUUGGUGAGGUAACGGCUCACCAAGGCAACGAUGGAUAGGGGAACUGAGAGGUUUAUCCCCCACACUGGUACUGAGACACGGACCAGACUCCUACGGGAGGCAGCAGUGAGGAAUAUUGGUCAAUGGACGCAAGUCUGAACCAGCCACGUCGCGUGAAGGAAGACGGCCCUACGGGUUGUAAACUUCUUUUGUAAGGGAAUAAAGUGUAGUACGUGUACUAUUUUGCAUGUACCUUACGAAUAAGGAUCGGCUAACUCCGUGCCAGCAGCCGCGGUAAUACGGAGGAUCCGAGCGUUAUCCGGAUUUAUUGGGUUUAAAGGGUGCGCAGGCGGGAGAUUAAGUCGGCGGUGAAAUUUUGCAGCUCAACUGUAAAAGUGCCUUCGAAACUGGUUUCCUUGAGUGUGGAUGAAGUAGGCGGAAUUUGUGGUGUAGCGGUGAAAUGCAUAGAUAUCACGAGGAACUCCGAUUGCGCAGGCAGCUUACUAAACCAUAACUGACGCUCACGCACGAAGGCGUGGGGAUCAAACAGGAUUAGAUACCCUGGUAGUC